UACGGAAGGCAGCAGUGGGGAAUAUUGCACAAUGGGCGCAAGCCUGAUGCAGCCAUGCCGCGUGUAUGAAGAAGGCCUUCGAGUUGUAAAGUACUUUCAGUCGUGAGGAAGGUGUUAAGGUUAAUAACCUUAGCAAUUGACGUUAGCGACAGAAGAAGCACCGGCUAACUCCGUGCCAGCAGCCGCGGUAAUACGGAGGGUGCGAGCGUUAAUCGGAAUUACUGGGCGUAAAGGGCACGCAGGCGGUUAAUUAAGUUGGAUGUGAAAUCCCCGGGCUUAACCUGGGAAUGGCAUUCAAGACUGGUUAGCUAGAGUCUUGUAGAGGGGGUAGAAUUCCAUGUGUAGCGGUGAAAUGCGUAGAGAUGUGGAGGAAUACCGGUGGCGAAGGCGGCCCCUGGACAAAGACUGACGCUCAUGUGCGAAAGCGUGGGGAGCAAACAGGAUUAGAUACC
Molecule: ribosomal RNA, 452 nt
Filed under: uncultured bacterium
Lineage: Bacteria
Description: bacterial SSU rRNA
Rfam family: Bacterial small subunit ribosomal RNA
Source: RNAcentral